Molecule: ribosomal RNA, 582 nt
Filed under: uncultured bacterium
Lineage: Bacteria
Description: bacterial SSU rRNA
Rfam family: Bacterial small subunit ribosomal RNA
Source: RNAcentral
ACGGGUGAGUAACACGUGGGCAACCUGCCCUUGAGACUGGGAUAACUUCGGGAAACCGGAGCUAAUACCGGAUAAUAUGAGGAACCUCCUGGUUCUUUAUUGAAAGAUGGUUUCGGCUAUCACUUAAGGAUGGGCCCGCGGCGCAUUAGCUAGUUGGUGAGGUAACGGCUCACCAAGGCGACGAUGCGUAGCCGACCUGAGAGGGUGAUCGGCCACACUGGGACUGAGACACGGCCCAGACUCCUACGGGAGGCAGCAGUAGGGAAUCUUCCACAAUGGACGAAAGUCUGAUGGAGCAACGCCGCGUGAGUGAUGAAGGCCUUCGGGUCGUAAAGCUCUGUUGUUAGGGAAGAACAAGUGCGAGAGUAACUGCUCGCACCUUGACGGUACCUAACCAGAAAGCCACGGCUAACUACGUGCCAGCAGCCGCGGUAAUACGUAGGUGGCAAGCGUUAUCCGGAAUUAUUGGGCGUAAAGCGCGCGCAGGUGGUUUCUUAAGUCUGAUGUGAAAGCCCACGGCUCAACCGUGGAGGGUCAUUGGAAACUGGGGAACUUGAGUGCAGAAGAGGAAAGUGGAAUUCC